CAUUUGAAAAUAUAUAUUUUUUCCUCCAGAUCCGAGAACUGCACAGAAAUGGUGUGUCUGACGAACUGCAAAUGGAACAAUACUGGCAUUGUGGCUGCAACCUGCACUACAACCACCAAUGCCCCAACAACCACCGUCCACCACCACAACCCUCACUGCCAUCGCCACACACACCACCCAUCAUCAACCUCAACCAGCAAACCAUCCCACCCCAGCCAAGCACGAUAAGAGUAAGGAACACCACUAAUGAUAACGAAUCGGUACAUUCAGGGGGAUGAUGACGGUGACGGCAGAGCAUCCAGGACAUCCAGGACAGGUCUUACUGCUAGACCACCACACCAUCUCCUGCAGUAGUCAUCCAGGACAGGUCUUACUGCAAGACCACGUCGACUAUGUAAGACCACCACACCAUCUCCUGAAGUAGUCAUCCAGGACAGGUCUUACUGCAAGACCACGUCGACUAUGUAAGACCACCACACCAUCUCCUGAAGUAGUCAUCCAGGACAGGUCUUACUGCAAGACCAUGUCGACAGCCUAAGACCGCUGCACCAUCUCAAGAAGUUAAGAUCAAAACAUUACAGUCAUCCUUGAUAAGAGUUCAUAAUUUUCUCUAAUGAUUAUUUUUAUUUAAGCAACAGCUGAAAAAUAUAUAAUUAUAAUGUUUAGAAUUAAUUAGUUCACCCACAAUCAAUUUACAACAAAGAAGAAAAUACGGCCUAUUAUGAAAAAUAUUAAACAAAGAUUAAAUUAAAAUUUACUUCAUUAAUUGUGGUAACUUAAGAGAUAGGAAAUAUAACUUAGAUAUAUUAAUAAAAGAUCUAAAUUUACCAGUUUAAAUUUAAUGGAUUAAAUGUCACUGUUUUUGUAUUAAAACGAUUAUUUUAUGUGAAAAAGUUAACAAUAAAAUAAAAUAUUGCUAAAGGCUAUUACAAAUUAUUUAUUACGUAAUAUGAUCAUUUUCUAAUAGAAAACAAAUCUCAUAAGCUUUAUAGCUUUCCAGAAAACACAUUAGACAAACAUGUGCAUAAGAUGAUUCGCCUACUUACAGAAGACAGUAGCACCCAGUGAUAUCAACAUAUGCAAGACACCUGUAAUAUGUGACAAUAUAAUGAGAAAGAUGUGUAAGCGAUAAACAAUUGUAAACCAUAAAAUGACAAAAUAUCCAAGAUGUCAACAUAGGAUAGGCUAAGUGCAUUAGCAUAUGAAAAAGACCAUACACUCGCUGUUAAAAUAUGCAAAUUGUCGAAUGUAUAUUAGGCAUCAACAUGUGAACUCUGUUAGAUGAAUACCGUCAUCUUUUGUGCAGUAAAUACAUCUGAAAGAAACCAACAAUGCAAGAAUGAGCAGAUGCAAGGAACCAACAAAUGCAAGAAUCAACAGCUUCAAGAAACCAAUAACAUUGGCCUUGCUGGAAAACUAAUUGGAAUAAAAUUAAGAUCUUAAA
Molecule: non-coding RNA, 1444 nt
Organism: Procambarus clarkii (red swamp crayfish)
Lineage: Eukaryota; Metazoa; Arthropoda; Malacostraca; Decapoda; Cambaridae
Source: RefSeq, a predicted model, not a curated record